Long non-coding RNA from Bombina bombina (fire-bellied toad), 434 nucleotides. RefSeq lists it as uncharacterized. The record is from RefSeq and is a predicted model, not a curated record. NCBI's taxonomy places the organism in Eukaryota, Metazoa, Chordata, Amphibia, Anura, Bombinatoridae. The transcript is spliced from 3 exons.
CUGGCACAUCCUGGUGCUGCUGCUGUCCCGCAACUCUUACAGAGCGGAUAGGUGCUGUGAGUGCGGCUGUAGGGGUCACUUGUCACACAGACACGUGACAAUAUAGUGACAAUGGGGGAGUGUCUGCUGUUCCUGGUUUCUCAGCCCCUUUCACUGGGUGUCUCAGACUACCUCAUCAACAGUGCUGAACUGGGAGCUUCUAAAUGAGAACUUUCCUGAAUUAUAUUAAUCUGAUCACAUCUUAAAGGAACAGUCCAGCCCCAAAAUAACAGCAAAUCCCAGAUGAUCAUUUUUGCCUUUGUGGGCCUUGUCAGUGAGGUGCAGUCAUAUUAGUCUAGGUACAUUGGGCAGGGAGUUAUUCUCUCUCUGUAUAUAUUUGUAUUGUAUUAUGACCAUGGGUAAAGUCUCCCUAAGGCUAAUGGGGGAAAACAGAC